UCAUAAUGUAUGACAAAUAAUUGUCUAAACAUUAACAAUGAUAACUACUUGUUCAUUUUUAAGUGACAUUUCCAUUAAAUGUGGGUUUUAAAACAUGUUCCAAGGUCAAAUCAAUUCUCCCAAUGCAAAUCAUUGUAUAUGUAUUACAUAUUGGAUUAUAGAGAAAAAAUGUAUUAGUUGUGCCAAUGUAAAAGUCGAGUUGGGGGUCUGUAGAAUCUACGUCAUUUCAUGGAGCUCUGAAUAAUACGGAGUGCUGCUGGACCAGAGGGCUGGAGGGGGCAGGUAGCAGGGUUAGGUCCCAGAGGGCUGGAGGGGGCAGGUAGCAGGGUUAGGUCCCAGAGGACUGGAGGGGGCAGGUAGCAGGGUUAGGUCCCAGAGGACUGGAGGGGGCAGGUAGCAGGGUUAGGUCCCAGAGGACUGGAGGGGGCAGGUAGCAGGGUUAGGUCCCAGAGGACUGGAGGGGGCAGGUAGCAGGGUUAGGUCCCAGAGGACUGGAGGGGGCAGGUAGCAGGGUUAGGUCCCAGAGGACUGGAGGGGGCAGGUAGCAGGGUUAGGUCCCAGAGGACUGGAGGGGGCAGGUAGCAGGGUUAGGUCCCAGAGGACUGGAGGGGGCAGGUAGCAGGGUUAGGUCCCAGAGGACUGGAGGGGGCAGGUAGCAGGGUUAGGUCCCAGAGGACUGGAGGGGGCAGGUAGCAGGGUUAGGUCCCAGAGGACUGGAGGGGGCAGGUAGCAGGGUUAGGUCCCAGAGGACUGGAGGGGGCAGGUAGCAGGGUUAGGUCCCAGAGGACUGGAGGGGGCAGGUAGCAGGGUUAGGUCCCAGAGGACUGGAGGGGGCAGGUAGCAGGGUUAGGUCCCAGAGGACUGGAGGGGGCAGGUAGCUGGCCUAGGUCCCAGAGGGCUGGAGGGGUCAGGUAGCAGGGUUAGGUCCCAGAGGGCUGGAGGGGGCAGGUAGCAGGGUUAGGUGCCAGAGGUCUGGUUUUGGUGGAGGGACUAGAGGGGGCAGGUAGCAGGUUUAGGUCCCAGAGGGCUGGUUUUGGUGGAGGGACUGGAGGGGGCAGGUAGCAGGGUUAGGUCCCAGAGGGCUGGUUUUGGUGGAGGGACUGGAGGGGGCAGCCAGCAGGGUUAGGUCAGGGAGUGGUCAGGGAGUUGUCAGGGAGUGGUCAGGGGGAGAAGGGGCAGGUAGCAGGGUUAGGUCAGGGAGUGGUCAGGGGGUGGUCAGGGAGUGGUCAGGCAGUGGUCAGGGAGUGGUCAAGGAGUGGUCAGGGAGUUGUCAGGGAGUGGUCAGGCAGUGGUCAGGGAGUGGUCAGGGAGUGGUCAGGGAGUGGUCAGGGAGUGGUCAGGGAGUGGUCAGGCAGUGGUCAGGGAGUUGUCAGGGAGUGGUCAAGGAGUGGUCAGGGAGUUGUCAGGCAGUGGUCAGGGAGUGGUCAGGGAGUGGUCAGGCAGUGGUCAGGGAGUGGUCAGGCAGUGGUCAGGGAGUGGUCAGGGAGUGGUCAAGGAGUGGUCAGGGAGUGGUCAGGGAGUGGUCAAGGAGUGGUCAGGGAGUUGUCAGGGAGUGGUCAGGGAGUUGUCAGGGAGUGGUCAGGGAGUUGUCCCCAACAUCAUAUGAAUGAGUGAUGGUACAGAACGGCAUAGGCAAGAUGCAGUAGAUGGUAUCGAGUACAGUUUAUACAUAUGAGAUGAGUAAUGUAGGGUAUGUAAACAAAGUGGCAUAGUUUAAAGUGGCUAGUGAUACAUGUAUUACAUAAAGAUGCAGUAGAUGAUAUAGAGUACAGUAUUACACUCAACUGAACGACUUGAUUAGUGUAGUGUUAGCUAGCUACAUAGUUGUCUUUGCUGUCUUCGUAUCCAAGAUAAUUGUGUAGUUUAGAGUGUGUAGUCUUAGAGCGAUUAUCUUAAUUUACCGAGGUUAGCUAGCCAGCUAUUUGUCGUCCUUAACGUAGGAGACACUGCUAGCUAGCCAACAGCUAGCCAACGUCUACCGAAUAGAACUUCCGCACUCAACAACCCGGUCGCAUUCCGCUUCGCUCCACAGGUAGUAUCACAUUUUCAUUUCAUUUCAUUACAGCACAACGGUUUGAUUUGUUUGAUCGUAGCUAGCUACAUAGCUAGCUACAUAGCCGUCUUUGUAUCAAAGAUAAUUGUGUAGUCUAGAGCGAUUUUCUAGGCUAGCUAGCCAGCUAUUGUCGUUCUUUUAACGCAACGUAACGUAAUCAACACUCCUAGCUAGCCAGCUACCCCCCGAAUAGCAGCACUGUAGAAACUAUUACACUCAACGGAACGACUUGAUUAGUGUAGUGUCAACAACGCAGCCACUGCCAGCUAGCCUACAAAGUCAACAACGCAGCCACUGCCAGCUAGCCUACUUCAGCAGUACUGUAUCAUUUUAAUAAUUUUAGUCAAUAAGAUUCUUGCUACUUAAGCUUAACUUUCUGAACAUUCGAGACGUGUAGUCCACUUGUCAUUCCAAUCUCCUUGCAUUAGCGUAGCCUCUUCUGUAGCCUGUCAACUAUGUGUCUGUCUAUCCCUGUUCUCUCCUCUCUGCACAGACCAUACAAACGCUCCACACCGCGUGGCCGCGGCCACCCUAAUCUGGUGGUCCCAGCGCGCACGACCCACGUGGAGUUCCAGGUCUCCGGUAGCCUCUGGAACUGCCGAUCUGCGGCCAACAAGGCAGAGUUCAUCUCAGCCUAUGCCUCCCUCCAGUCCCUCGACUUCUUGGCACUGAUGGAAACAUGGAUCACCACAGAUAACACUGCUCAUCCUACUGCUCUCUCUUCGUCCGCCCACGUGUUCUCGCACACCCCGAGAGCUUCUGGUCAGCGGGGUGGUGGCACCGGGAUCCUCAUCUCUCCCAAGUGGUCAUUCUCUCUUUCUCCCCUUACCCAUCUGUCUAUCGCCUCCUUUGAAUUCCAUGCUGUCACAGUUACCAGCCCUUUCAAGCUUAACAUCCUUAUCAUUUA
This is a long non-coding RNA of Oncorhynchus keta (chum salmon), 2960 nucleotides long. RefSeq lists it as uncharacterized. The transcript is spliced from 10 exons. The record is from RefSeq and is a predicted model, not a curated record. NCBI's taxonomy places the organism in Eukaryota, Metazoa, Chordata, Actinopteri, Salmoniformes, Salmonidae.